This 496-nucleotide ribosomal RNA is filed under the name uncultured bacterium. RNAcentral's name for it is "partial 16S ribosomal RNA". It matches the Rfam family "Bacterial small subunit ribosomal RNA", at positions 28 to 506 of the family's 1533-position model. The record is from RNAcentral.
GAUGAACGCUGGCGGCGUGCCUAAUACAUGCAAGUCGAGCGAACGGACGAGAAGCUUGCUUCUCUGAUGUUAGCGGCGGACGGGUGAGUAACACGUGGAUAACCUACCUAUAAGACUGGGAUAACUUCGGGAAACCGGAGCUAAUACCGGAUAAUAUUUUGAACCGCAUGGUUCAAAAGUGAAAGACGGUCUUGCUGUCACUUAUAGAUGGAUCCGCGCUGCAUUAGCUAGUUGGUAAGGUAACGGCUUACCAAGGCAACGAUGCAUAGCCGACCUGAGAGGGGAACGGGCAAAACGGAACCGGAGAAAGGGUCCAGCUCCUUAGGGGAGGAAGCAGUAGGGAAUCUUCGGAAAGGGGCGAAAGCCUGAGGGGGAACCGCGGGGGGAGUGAUGAAGGUCUUCGGAUCGUAAAACUCUGUUAUUGGGGAAGAACAUAUGGGAAAGUAACUGUGCAGACUUGGACGGUACUUAACAAAAAAGCACCGGCUAACUACGU